AGCCGCGUGACCUCGUACAUGGCCGUCUUCACCACGGUCUCCAUGACGUCGGACAGCUGGGUCUGGAAAGUGACCACCAGGGUCUCCAGGGAACCAUGCGAGGAGAGAGGAAGCGAGGAGAUAUGUUUCAGGAGAAAUGAACGUUGUUUCCUCGGAAGCGUCACGUGAAGCGACCGCUGAUCACAGCUGAUCAGCUAUCAAUCGAUUCUAACAGCUGGUUGUGGUCCAGACAGUUUUUUUUCUGAUACAAAUCGUCUUUAAAUAUUGAUUAAAUGAUCGUAUCAUGUUUUCAGUUGAUUUAAUGGUGUUAAACUACUACUUAUAAUAAUAAUAAAUACAGUUACUGUCA
Molecule: long non-coding RNA, 349 nt
Organism: Pseudoliparis swirei
Lineage: Eukaryota; Metazoa; Chordata; Actinopteri; Perciformes; Liparidae
Exons: 2
Source: RefSeq, a predicted model, not a curated record